CUUUAUGCUAUCUAACUAGAUCCAAUAAUGGACUACGAGGCAUUCAAAUGCUGAUGUUCAUGGCUUCAGGUAUUACUUAAGUAGAAUUUGGGAUUUUUGUGCCAUUGAGUGUCUACUGUGUCGUGUGUCGAGUCGACACAGGCUAUCACAAGUACAGUCUCCGAGGAUGUCAUUUGUUGUUUUUGGGUAGUAUACAAUGGUGAUGUUACCUGCUCAUUUCUUGUUAAGCUGACAUUAAGCUUGCAUUACUCGUGUAUCUUUACGAUAGCUAGAUUCACAAUGAACUGCGAGGCAUUGAAAUGGUGAUGUUCAUGUUGUCAUUUUUCUGUUCGGAUCUAGGUUCUAGCUAUUUUAAAGCAGAUUGUUGGUGGAGACCGCUACAGCAGGCUGGUGCAGACUGGUGGUGUUGGUGGGGACCGCUACAGCCAUCGGAAGGGAUUUGGCAGGAGGUGGAGCCUUCUUUGCUUGACUUUUACUGCCAAGGUAGCUUUUUCCCUUCCCAUGGUUCUUCCCUUUCAUUAUUGAUGCAUUUACCUGCAAUCCUGAGCCUCAACCUGGUGUAUUUGGUGAUCACUCUCCUCUUGACAUCAUGGCAGGAUGGAAGGUUUGAUUUCACAGUCAUGGCCUCUUCCACUAGUUCACUGACUGAGCACUCCAUUAGGGCUUCUGAUGUCCUGGCCCGGAACAGCUGCUCAACGUGCUGCAGUAAAGAGAAUACAUCCGCAGAUGGCUGGUGAAGUGCGCCCUCUCUGUACUCCUUCAUCUGCAGCAGUGUGGCGUUGUCCGGUAUAGCGUCGUCACUGUUCCUUAAGGCAGGCUUACAGGCCGAACACAAAGAGCCGCCUAGUACACCCUUGAUGACGUAUCCGGCCAGAUGGUAUAGCACACAGGACUCCGCUUUUGUGGAAAUGAUUCUGCUCCUACUGCAUGAGACUGCUGCUGUUGAUGGGAAGUGCUUUUGCCAGAAAUGGCUUAGUUGCAGGUGGUGGCUUUCUUGAGUUGCACUGAUAAGGUUGAUGCUUUCAAUGCAUUGGAAGUUCCAGCAUGUUCCAGUGAAUUCCAAUUCUUCAUGCAUUAUUGAUUUCACACACACACACACACACACACACACACACACGUCUUGUCAUGUACACAGACAUGCCGUUUUAUUCAUAGUUAUUUUGUUUGGGCUGUUUAUGUUUCUA
This is a long non-coding RNA of Engraulis encrasicolus (European anchovy), 1184 nucleotides long. RefSeq lists it as uncharacterized. The record is from RefSeq and is a predicted model, not a curated record. Lineage: Eukaryota; Metazoa; Chordata; Actinopteri; Clupeiformes; Engraulidae. The transcript is spliced from 3 exons.